GGGGGUAUAGCUCAGGCGGUUAGAGCGCUUCACUGAUAAUGAAGAGGUCCCAGGUUCAAGUCCUGGUACCCCCACAA
Molecule: transfer RNA, 77 nt
Filed under: Microbacterium sp. Root61
Lineage: Bacteria; Bacillati; Actinomycetota; Actinomycetes; Micrococcales; Microbacteriaceae
Description: tRNA-Ile
Rfam family: tRNA
About the family: Transfer RNA (tRNA) molecules are approximately 80 nucleotides in length. Their secondary structure includes four short double-helical elements and three loops (D, anti-codon, and T loops).
Source: RNAcentral